RNAcentral lists this unclassified non-coding RNA (419 nucleotides) under Cyrtandra coccinea. RNAcentral describes it as "partial external transcribed spacer". The record is from RNAcentral. Lineage: Eukaryota; Viridiplantae; Streptophyta; Magnoliopsida; Lamiales; Gesneriaceae.
UGGCAGGAUCAACCAGGUAGCAAUCCAUGUCGACUUUGGCAUUGCAUCGACGAAUCGAAAACAACACCAAAUGUCGUUCGCAUACGAUAGCGUGUGACGCUAUUUUAUGGGGCAAAAUAGAGACCGUCGAUGCCUCGUACCCAACCCACGAGGUACUCCAUGACAUAGAGAACGAGCACCGUGCCAUUGAUCCAAUGGCCCAACAACUUUAUUUAACCCACGGGCGUUGGAGCAUGACAUUGUGCUUCGAAGUUCACCUCGUACCACGAACCCAAGGGCUCGCAGCAAAAGGCGAAAGGGUCCAUUAAUCCGAUGAAUUCCCGCACUUUGGGUACAAAACACAAGAAACCGAGCUUGGCCAAGAUGUUUUUCCUGCUCUUGAACCAAUUACUGAAGAGGCAUGCCGGAUACAUUUUCGU